GCCUGGAUGGUUCAGUGGUAGAACGAGUACUUGGUAAGUACUAGGUCGGGGGUCCGAUUCCCCCUCCAGGCUCAA
This 75-nucleotide transfer RNA is filed under the name Candidatus Gottesmanbacteria bacterium RIFCSPHIGHO2_01_FULL_42_27. RNAcentral describes it as "tRNA-Thr". It matches the Rfam family "tRNA". Rfam says of the family: Transfer RNA (tRNA) molecules are approximately 80 nucleotides in length. Their secondary structure includes four short double-helical elements and three loops (D, anti-codon, and T loops). Lineage: Bacteria; Candidatus Gottesmaniibacteriota. The record is from RNAcentral. RNAcentral also lists the same sequence under 4 other names.